This 506-nucleotide ribosomal RNA is filed under the name uncultured bacterium. RNAcentral's name for it is "bacterial SSU rRNA". It matches the Rfam family "Bacterial small subunit ribosomal RNA", at positions 20 to 507 of the family's 1533-position model. The record is from RNAcentral.
UGGCUCAGAGUGAACGCUGGCGGCAGGCCUAACACAUGCAAGUCGAGCGGCAGCGCGUCCGACCACCCGAGGGUGGUCGGAUGGCGGCGAGCGGCGGACGGGUGAGGAAUGCAUCGGAAUCUGCCUCGUUGUGGGGGAUAACGUAGGGAAACUUACGCUAAUACCGCAUACGACCUACGGGUGAAAGUGGGGGACCUUCGGGCCUCACGCGAUGAGAUGAGCCGAUGCCGGAUUAGCUAGUUGGCGGGGUAAGGGCCCACCAAGGCGACGAUCCGUAGCUGGUCUGAGAGGAUGAUCAGCCACACUGGAACUGAGACACGGUCCAGACUCCUACGGGAGGCAGCAGUGGGGAAUAUUGGACAAUGGGGGCAACCCUGAUCCAGCCAUGCCGCGUGUGUGAAGAAGGCCUUCGGGUUGUAAAGCACUUUUGUUGGGGAAGAAACCGGCCGGGUUAAUACCCUGGUUGAAUGACGGUACCCAAAGAAUAAGCACCGGCUAACUUCGUG